AAAUUUGAUUGUUUUAGUUGAUGCAGCAGAAAGUGUAAAAACAUUGUUUUAAUGUACUAUCUGUCUGAAAGUCCUGUGGGUUGGAGGUUUGUCUCAUGUCUUCAUUGCUGUUGUAUGUAUGUAUGUUCUGUAUUUUAUAAAUUAAUAUUUGAUAAAAAAAUAAAAAUAGUAUAGGGUGUAGAAAAAAGUCAUAGUAUAGCCACAGCUAUGCAUGACAGAUGUUCUGGUGCUGUUGGAGAACCUCAUUGACAGGCCUAGUGAGUGGUGGCGAGGCAUUGUCACCUGUGUCAUUUAUGAAUGUUAUUGGCAGAUUAGAUAUGACCUAGCAAGUUCAUUGAAAAAAAAAAUCAGACAGGUCCUACUCACUUCUGGAUUUAUCAAAAAGCGUUUAUUAAUAGUCAUAGUAAUGUCACACAAAUUCACAAGUGUUUAAGACAUGUCUGGCUCAGUUUGGUUGUGUGUGUCUGCAAGUAUGUCUGUGAUUUCUCUAAACAGUGCAGUUAUAAAUAAAUGACCACAAAGUGAAGGAAAAGGGUAUGGUAAUAUUGCAACAGGAAAAAUAGAAUUCUCAUUUUAAGAAGAAAAGAGAAAAAAAGUUGUUCAAAGAGAACAUUUAGCACCAUCUAUCCUGUUAUCAUAUUCAACAGAUAAUAUAUCAUAAAAUCAAUAAAAUCUCAUCUAAAAGCCCCCUACAUAAUAAAAAAAUUUAACAUUUCUCAGAAAGUUUUUUCUUCUCCUUAAUGAGCAUUCCAUUAGUCAUCUUCUCUACGUGAGCAGUGUGCCUAUUGUCUACAGGAAAGGUGGUGUUAUAUUCAAGAUAAAGAUAUCAUUUAAUAUAUAUCAGGAGAAAAAGGCAAGAGUCAUGAGAGGCAAGCACCAGAGAAACAGCAGCCUCCACUCCCGUGAACACACAACCCCCCACAGUUCUGUUCUUACAGAGCAAUCUGUCUCUAUAAAAAAAUACAGAGGAAAAAAAGUCGCAAACUUGUACAACCCUAUUAAAAAAAGGGAGAACAUUGAUAUCCAAUAAAUAGAGGAAACAUUUUAAAUUAAAUGUACAAUGCCAAAAUAAAUCCAGAAAAUACCAAGUCUGCAUAUUGAAACAAAACAAUCAGAGGUACAACACACAAACACCAAAUGGCAAUGAUUUUCUUUUUAGAGCCCAUACAGAGAUGGAAGAAAUGAACAAAAGGACCUGAUGAGUGACAACUGGAUACUAAUCUCCAGAGGAAAUAAAAGUAUAAUUAAUACAAACACAAGAUUUACAACACAUACAUACUAAAAGACAAAAUGAAACCCCUCCCAAAACAACCAAAGUCAUUAAAACCUGUAUGUUUUGUAUUUUUUUUUAUUCUUAAUGCUUUAGAAAAAUGUUCAUAUCUCUAUUAUUAGUAUUUUUCAUUUUCUCUUAUUUCUAAAUACAAGGCCAAUGUGGUAUAUAUCUAGGCUGAUCUAGUUUAGAAAAAAACAAUAAAUUAUUUUUUAAAAAGACAGCACCCCACAAAAAUUGCAAACAGCAUGUACAAAUUUCAGUAUUCAAGACAAGACGCACCAACUGCCCCCUGGUUCUCAACUUCAAUGUUGCCAGGGUGUCUGGUUGAAAGCACCAUCUGAGAGUAAACUGGUAAUUUUAUUGGCGGCUUGGUAUUUCUUUUUGUAAACAGUAAUGAUGAGUAAACUUAUUCAACUGGCUGUUCGGCAAGUAUUUGCAGUAGUAGUAGUAGCAAAAAUGAUCUUCAGUGAUCUUAAAUAAUGAAAGGGUAAGUUGAAAACCAAAGUGUAACUGUGUCUUUUGUCCUGGCUUGCAGGAGUUUUGGUUAUGGCUGAGGAGAUGCAGGGGGGGGGAGCUCUGUCACCGGGAGGAGGACGAGGCCUGAAGCGGAUUACUCUAAUUCUAUACACUUCUUCUGUGAUUCCACCACGUUAUUCCCUGGAGCUGACAUCAGUGAACACAAGAAAAUCCAGGAUUGACUAUUAAGCGCAAGAGUUAGUUAGCUAAGGUUAGUUUUCGUUGUACAGUGGGGAACUUGAAAUGGUUUAUUCUUUGGUUGGGGGUUUGCUGGGAUCCUAAAGAGAACGGUUUUGGUGUUGAGAGAAUUAAAUAAAUUAAGCUUUAGGCAUAUUUUAGUUACUUUUGUUUAUUUAGUUAUUUUUGUAAAGAAAAAAACAUUGUGCAGCUUUGUUAUCUGAGCAAAUGAGAGGAUCGGGACAUCCCUACUUUCAGUUUUGUUUUGGUGCUGUUGAAUUAUAGUGUUAUACAGAGUUGUUUCUAUUAUCCCUUUCACACCAAGGGCUAAACUGGAGUAUGUGACGUUAGCUGUUGAUUGAAAUUGUAUGUUGUAUAAACCCCGCCCAUUGCCAGCACAUGAGGUAAUUGGUAUGCAUGGCCCCGUGUUGACUGGCUUCUUUUGACAAAAUAAGGGGUUGAACACGGGCCAGAUAGCCCUGGUUAAUGAACACCUUCAUUGAUGUUGAGGAGGAGAAAAUACACCUAUCAGUAUAAAGCAAUACAUUUUAAACGGCACUACAGCCUCCAUGACAACUAAGCUGACUUUACAAUUACUCAAUUUGAAAUUUUAGCAAUGUGUACCCAGUUAACUGGCGUUUGAUAGAGAGAGUUGUAUGGUAAGAGUGAUUGUUGGCUACUCACAUCACACUCGUUGCAGUAGUAGGCAGGCUCGUCCUUGACCCGACUCUGAUAGGAAAGCUUCUUGCCGUCAGCCACCAGUUGGUCCCGCAGGACCUGGAUGUGCUUCAUGGACUGCAGCAAGCAGUGUCUGGCAAAAGAGGACACAUGGAUCAUGGGGACAAUGGAUUUGACCUUCUUCACUUCAUUCCACUCAAACCUCUCCAGGGCCAGUUGGUACUGAUGGUGCACUCCUUACCAUUGAGAGGUCCAACAUUCCAGGCGAUGUUGUUGCACCAGCCUACGGCCUGAACCCAGUGUACAGUUCCAGCGUUGAUCCACACCAAGUCUCCAGGCCGCUGGAUGAAGCGGUACACUGGGAUGUUGGCUUUGUAGAGGUCCUCCAACACCGGCCACCAGGACCCGAAGUCGCUAAUGGCCUGCCAGUAGUUCUCAUGGACAGAGAACCACUCACAGUCUCCAGGGCCGAUGUUGAUGUUCACCGAGCAAAAAUGUAACGUGAAAGAGUCCUUUACCUGGCGUUCGGCUUCCUGGAACCUUCAUGUAGAGCUGGACGGUGUUCAUGCCUAGGAUGGUGUGUCCGACGUGGCUCAGCAUGUUUCCACUCGAUGCUACACGCAUAAAGGCUGGUAGCUUCUGCAACUCCUGAAGCUGAGGCUUCCACCUGACCAGAGAUAGCAGAGCUGUCCUUGCUUGGAGUAUCAGAACUGUAAGAAGGCUUCUUCUCAUCUUCAUCAUCCUCGUCAUCGCUGCCUUUUUCCUCCUGAAGACAUAGAUCACAACACGUUUUAUCAACUGCAGCACAGGAGAGCCAGACUAUCUAAAUCAUUAAACUGAAUUACAAGUAAAUCCAACCAAGCAAUCUGAUUAAUCAACAUGACGGCACACCAUAGUGAUCACUAAAAAUAUUACUCCAUUUCAAUGUCAACAUUCCAGAGUUGAAUCAAAACCUUUUUUGAAAUAUUUGUAAAUAAAUCACGAAACACAGUGGAACACACAGAAGCUCUCCAACAUAUGGACAUAAAGGGAGUCAUCGGAUUAAACAACUUUGUUUUUUUUACAACGCUCUCAAGUUAACUGUUACUAGAAAUGUUUGGGUGUCUGCUACAUGUGAAGUUUGCAGACUUAUAGAAGCUAAAUCUGUCAAUUUUAUUUCAGCAGACAGCUUAGUUAGCUUAAGUUGGCUGGCUGACUAAAGAGGGAGGGACUAUCUCUGUUUCUUAUAUUUAUUAUGAGAGCAAAUUGCCUCACAAAAUUAAUACAGUUUAGGUAACUGUUGUAUGUAUAAUUGUCAUAUUAUGGGCACUUAAGUGAUUCUUAAUGACAUUAAAUCACACCCUCUCAUGUAAUAUUGCUUAAAUAUACAGUUUGCUUGAAUGCAGAAAUAGUGGUAGCAGAAGUGGUUAGAGUAGGAGUACUAGAACAUAUUUACCUGCAGACUCUCUUGGAAGCUGGAGGCCUGGUACUGGGCAUACUUGGCAAUGGUGGUGUGGGAGCGGCUGCUCUCGCAGGGCCAUGUCUGGCCUGUCCCACUGGGGUCCCAGUUCUCAUCAGCAGGCUGCUGCACCUGAGUCCUCACCUCUACCGCCUGCUCUGCAUUGGCCUCAACCAGUGACUUUGUAGAAAACAGCCCCAGGUCUAAAGACAGCGAGAGGGAACAUUAGGCACAUACAACCAAUUGAUGUAAAUAUGUCUGUAACUAAUGGGUCAAAAUGUCCAAUACCAAGACUAUUUUUAAAUUGUUCUCCAGAAGUAUCCGGAGAGCUUAUCAUGAAUUUUGCAUUUACAGUUACACAAGUGUAAGCUUACUGAGUCGUAGAGAUCCAGCCAGGCCUCUGAUGACAGUAACAGGAUUUUUGGGGUCUGUACAGAACUGCAGCAACACAGGGGAGAACGCAUCCCUCUUACUCUCCAACUACAGAGAAGAAACAUCACGUCAACACACAGUAAUGAAAACUGCUUCAGGUAAUUUGUCAUCAUGCACAAUGAAUUGCCACAAGAGGGCAGCACAUUAAGGCAGGGAUCUUCAAUAGGGGGUCCUCCAAGUCCAUCCAGGGGGGCCUCCAAAUUAUUGUUAAUUUUUGAAAGUUUUUUCAAAAAUUAAAAAGUCUUAGCGUGAUUCCAACAUAUUAUUAGCGAAUAUAAAUCCACUGAUGGUAAACUUACUGGCCUAUAGGUAAUGUAGUCACUAAGGUAGCCAUCCACAGAUACAGUUCAUCCCAAAGGAUUGACUGUUUCACAUUUAAGGGUUAACAUUAAAACGGGAUUUAUAAAAUCAUGGCAACAAUUAUUAGGCUAUUUGAAGAGCUUUGUAUUCUAUGCAAA
Long non-coding RNA from Perca flavescens (yellow perch), 4972 nucleotides. RefSeq lists it as uncharacterized. The record is from RefSeq and is a predicted model, not a curated record. Lineage: Eukaryota; Metazoa; Chordata; Actinopteri; Perciformes; Percidae. The transcript has 7 exons.